Molecule: long non-coding RNA, 2392 nt
Organism: Passer domesticus (house sparrow)
Lineage: Eukaryota; Metazoa; Chordata; Aves; Passeriformes; Passeridae
Exons: 3
Source: RefSeq, a predicted model, not a curated record
CAAAGCUGUGCUGAAGCAUCACUUGAGAGGCAAGGGGACUCAAAUAGGGAAAGGAUUUUGUUCACCUGCCUUUGGGCUUUCUUUAGAAAAGCAAGUAAACAUGGAAAACAAGAUACUAUGGUGACAUAAAGGGAUAUUAGGAACUGAAAGGGAAAUAGUCUUACUUGGCUCUGACAGGAAUAUUUCCAAUACAUUUUUUGGCUGGUGGAUAAAAACACCAAACCUUAUGAGUGCCUGCUCCUAGAUGUGCUGCUGAAAACCCAGAAGACACAUUUUAAGGCUUUUUUUCCACAGCCAGUCCUAUGAGUAUUUAACUGAAGCCUGUGUGAAAAUCUGUAGCACAAGUCUCAGCUCCCACCUGGCCUCGUGACCAUUUGUUGCUGUGAAGAGAAGACCCACAGAAAUGGUUAAUGACUGUUUGAGGGCUGAUGGAGUAACUUUGGGGGCUUGUUUUUAAAUCCCUGUGUGGCCUCUGAAACCUGCCUGUUGAAGCAGCAUAUCACUGGAGAAGAAGCUAUUCCUGUGAGCCAGAUUUCUCUUAUGAAGGAUGAUGCAACAUGAGUCCUCAUCAGUCAGCUUUAAUGCAAGUUAAGCAGAAUAUAUAUUUGGCCUGAAGUGUAAUGGACACUUUGCUGCAUCCUGGAAAGAAAGAAUCUAAAUUGUUACAUGUUACUUCAAACCAGUAGCAAGGCAUCUCAGUGCUCAGCCUGGAUGCGGGUACCUUGGGAGCUCUGUGAGGGUCUUGAGGCCAGAAGCCCACCCUCCAACUUUUGAAGAACCUAACCCUCUCUUUACCCUGAAAAAAGGAAGAAAUAAAAGCUGUUUCAGCAGAAUCUUCAAAGUAGGCUGUUCUAGUGCACAGAGCAAUGGUGCUUAGGGAAAGGUUGAGCUAUGUCCUAGCACUCAGCUCUCAGAUUCUGUGUCACCUGGGUUUGCUGGACUACUGAUUACAGUCAUGUAUUAACUAUGGCUUGGAAUUAUAAAACAUGCUUUCCACUACAGCUCUGUAACACACCAUAAUUAAAACGAACCAUUUACUUUUUGUCAUGGUGCUACUGAUCCCACCACACCUUCCCUGCUACCUUGUGCUAUCCGAGUCUCAGCACCAUGGUCCCUGGCUUGCUUUGGGAUGCCAGGCUGUUUAUCUCCCUAGCAGAAGCAGGGUUUCCCCUUGUUUCUUUCCCUCUUAGCUAGAGGGAAUGUUCUGAUUCUGUUCUGAUAAAGUUCUGAUUUUAUUUCAUGUGUGAGCUCCCUGCUGGCACUGGAGUGGGAGGGAGCUGGAUGAGCCCGUGGCAGGGGCAGGGGUCUCCAGAGUCAGCCCCACUACAUCGAUUUCUGUCAGCCAAGGACCUGGCACUCAGCCUGUCCAAGGAAAUGUUACCAGUUGCUCCAGAGUGAGACACAACACACUCAUAGCACAUAUAACUGGGCAUUGCAGCAAUAUGCAGGAAUGGCAGAAACCGCUGGACCCCAUCAGCCAACAAGUGAGAAGCAGAAAGCUUGAAGCCCUAAGGAGAUUUUGUCAUGGUUUGUUUCCACCCUAUAAUUAUUUUAAUUCUAGUUAGUACAACUACAAACAUUACAUGUGGCGCCAUCAUCUUAAGCAGUAGAAAAUCCCACAGAUCAAUAGGAUACUGCAUUAUGUUAUUUCCCUUCAUUGCUUUUAGGUCUCACAUCUUCCAGGCCUUUAUCUCAGGCAGAAAUAAAUAACUACAUAACUGUUUUUGCAAGGGCAUUUUACACAUCCCUUAAGCUUUCUCUACAAAACAAAACCCAUUUUCAUAUCCAUCUUUAAUGGGGGUAGAAAGUGCUUAGUAUCCUACAGUAUUUAUGACUCUCUAGGUGCUUCUUGUAGGAGAUAUUGGAUAUUGGACUGACUAGAAGUGCUCAAAGCAGACACAGAACACAAGCUAACAUGAAGCCCAGUGUGAUUUCCAUCUCCAUCCCAGGAACCAGCUGUGAAGGCAGACAUGGCUCCUCUGCCCAAGGCAGCUCCCCAAGAUGAAUUGCAAAUAAAUCUCCAAUCAAAAAGCCCCACCAUACUUCAAAUUCAUUCAUAUACAUCCUAGAGAACCAUCUUUCCCCACCUUUUUUUUUUUUGGUGAUAAUCAAAAACCAGGCCUGAGUUGCCUGAGCACAGCCAGCACAGAAGGUUGUUGCUGCAGAAAAUAGCUCCUCCCGUGUGAUCAGAAUAUGAACAGCUGAGAACUUGCGUUAAAAGCAGAGAAGAAAAAAUGCUCUGCAAAACACAGCAAAGCAGCAAGGCUGCCUUUGACCAGAAAUAUGCUGCCAGCUCGUGGCUAGGGUACCUCACAGGGACACUGCAGAGAGGACUCCUGCCCUUAUCCUUCAUGGACUAAUUAAAAUGCUUUCAAGAGACUGCCCCCUGCAA